This 22-nucleotide microRNA is filed under the name Oreochromis niloticus (Nile tilapia). Its description in RNAcentral is "oni-miR-10686". Lineage: Eukaryota; Metazoa; Chordata; Actinopteri; Cichliformes; Cichlidae. The record is from miRBase by way of RNAcentral.
UCGGACAGGUCUGCGCAAUGCA